UAGUGAGUUUGAUCCUGGCUCAGAGCGAACGCUGGCGGCAGGCCUAACACAUGCAAGUCGAACGGCAGCGCGGGGCAACCUGGCGGCGAGUGGCGAACGGGUGAGUAAUAUAUCGGAACGUACCCGAGAGUGGGGGAUAACGUAGCGAAAGUUACGCUAAUACCGCAUACGAUCUAUGGAUGAAAGUGGGGGAUCGCAAGACCUCAUGCUCCUGGAGCGGCCGAUAUCUGAUUAGCUAGUUGGUGAGGUAAAGGCUCACCAAGGCCACGAUCAAUAGCUGGUCUGAGAGGACGACCAGCC
This 300-nucleotide ribosomal RNA is filed under the name uncultured Pseudomonadota bacterium. RNAcentral describes it as "uncultured proteobacterium partial 16S ribosomal RNA". It matches the Rfam family "Bacterial small subunit ribosomal RNA", at positions 1 to 309 of the family's 1533-position model. Lineage: Bacteria; Pseudomonadati; Pseudomonadota. The record is from RNAcentral.